AUUGAACGCUGGCGGCGUGCCUAACACAUGCAAGUCGCACGAGAAAGACUGUUUUCGGACGGUCGAGUAAAGUGGCGCACGGGUGAGUAGCGCGUAGGUAACCUACCCUUGUAUUGGGGAUAACCCCGCGAAAGCGGGGCUAAUACCGGAUACGAUCCUGACCUGGUGGGGUUGGGAUGAAAGUGGGCCUCUCGAAGAAGCUCGCGUACGGGGAUGGGCCUGCGUCCUAUCAGCUAGUUGGUGGGGUAAUGGCUCACCAAGGCGACGACGGGUAGCUGGUCUGAGAGGAUGAUCAGCCACACUGGCACUGGAACACGGGCCAGACUCCUACGGGUGGCAG
RNAcentral lists this ribosomal RNA (340 nucleotides) under uncultured Pseudomonadota bacterium. RNAcentral's name for it is "bacterial SSU rRNA". It matches the Rfam family "Bacterial small subunit ribosomal RNA", at positions 30 to 351 of the family's 1533-position model. Lineage: Bacteria; Pseudomonadati; Pseudomonadota. The record is from RNAcentral.